This 116-nucleotide ribosomal RNA is filed under the name Campylobacterales bacterium. The record is from RNAcentral. Lineage: Bacteria; Pseudomonadati; Campylobacterota; Epsilonproteobacteria; Campylobacterales.
AGUGGUGACUUUAGAGGGAGGGUCACACCUAGUUCCAUUUCGAACCUAGCAGUUAAGCCUCCCAUCGCCGAUAAUACUUAUCCUGUCUGGAUUGGGAAUGUAGGUCGUCGCCUCUU